AAACCGUUCAGGGGUAAACCUGAGAAACCCAAAAGAUCGAAUGGAGAGAUUCAUCGUCAGCUCAUUUUGUAUAUAUGCGAGUUGUGAUAUGGGUUACUACUCGUAGUAUUGCCUGUACAUUCUUGUAUAUUUAGUUGCAAAGUGUUGUCGGCGUGCACUUCUCCCCUAGUAGGACGUCGCGACCCGUUGAAUGUUGGUUUACGGCCCAGGUGGGAGCUUUUAAUGAAUUUCAUUCAUUUGAAACCCUUGGUGUUUUCUAACUGGCAUUCGUCGGUAUUCGUAUGGUAUUGAGCCGCAUUAUAUAUGCGUCUAUAUCCAUCGCAAGCGAGGUUAGUUACUGAUAGUACGGACCUAGUGCCGUCGUUGGUGCUAAUCAGCUGUUGGUUGUAUGGAAUUCUAAGACUGGCUCUUAAAUAAAAUACCGGUCAGCGAUGCUACUGCUUUGGGUACUUUCAGGA
This 458-nucleotide ribosomal RNA is filed under the name Bracon phylacteophagus. RNAcentral describes it as "eukaryotic LSU rRNA". The record is from RNAcentral. Lineage: Eukaryota; Metazoa; Arthropoda; Insecta; Hymenoptera; Braconidae.